UAUCUAAGCAACCUGCUCUCUAGUCUGC
RNAcentral lists this non-coding RNA (28 nucleotides) under Mus musculus (house mouse). Lineage: Eukaryota; Metazoa; Chordata; Mammalia; Rodentia; Muridae. The record is from RNAcentral.